This 471-nucleotide long non-coding RNA is filed under the name Dasypus novemcinctus (nine-banded armadillo). RNAcentral describes it as "lncRNA (ENSDNOG00000052963.1)". The record is from RNAcentral. Lineage: Eukaryota; Metazoa; Chordata; Mammalia; Cingulata; Dasypodidae.
CCCUGGGAGCCUCAGGGCCCUUCUCUCCACAGAGCCCUCGUGGAGCAGCCAGGUGGCCCUGGCGGUCUUAAAAACAAGCUUGGUCUCCUAAAUUCAGAAAACUCUGCCUGCUUGGGACCCACCUCUGCCCUGGAAGAAGAGAAAGAGGCAGUGGAGACACCCCCCUCCCCACCCCUCCACCGUGUUCAUUGGUACAACGGGUCGCCUGAGUCACAGCCGGGCGCAGAGUCCACUGAGGACCCAGGAAGCUGCUGUGAAGACUGCAGGAUCAGGGCAGUGCCGGUCAGGAGAUGUCUGGAGUAGCAAAUAGGUGAGUUCCUCACGGCUCAGAGCCUGGUGGAUCAGCCAGCACCAUCCACAUCAUCUGAGGCAGGUUAGAAAUGCAAACGCAGGCCCCUCCCAGGCCCUCCUGAAUCAGAAACUGCAUUUUAACGAGAUCCCCAGCAUUGGACUUAGAAGAUGGCUGAGCAG